AUUGAACGCUGGCGGCAUGCCUUACACAUGCAAGUCGAACGGCAGCACGGGGGCAACCCUGGUGGCGAGUGGCGAACGGGUGAGUAACAUAUCGGAACAUACCCUAGAGUGGGGGAUAACGUAGCGAAAGUUACGCUAAUACCGCAUACGAUCUAAGGAUGAAAGUGGGGGAUCUUCGGACCUCAUGCUCAUGGAGUGGCCGAUAUCUGAUUAGCUAGUUGGUGAGGUAAAGGCUCACCAAGGCGACGAUCAGUAGCUGGUUUGAGAGAACGACCAGCCACACUGGAACUGAGACACGGUCCAGACUCCUACGGGAGGCAGCAGUG
This 326-nucleotide ribosomal RNA is filed under the name uncultured bacterium. RNAcentral describes it as "bacterial SSU rRNA". It matches the Rfam family "Bacterial small subunit ribosomal RNA", at positions 30 to 356 of the family's 1533-position model. The record is from RNAcentral.